CAUUGGCUCAANCAAUGUAUGCUUUGGAAACUGUUAGACUUGAGUGCAGAAGGGGAGAGUGGAAUUCCAUGUGUAGCGGUGAAAUGCGUAGAUAUAUGGAGGAACACCGGUGGCGAAAGCGGCUCUCUGGUCUGUCACUGACGCUGAGGCUCGAAAGCGUGGGUAGCGAACAGGAUUAGAUACCCUGGUAGUNCACGCCGUAAACGCUGAGUGCUAGGUGUUAGNUCCUUUCCGGGACUUAGUGCCGGCGCUAACGCAUUAAGCACUCCGCCUGGGGAGUACGACCGCAAGGUUGAAACUCAAAGGAAUUGACGGGGGCCCGCACAAGCGGUGGAGCAUGUGGUUUAAUUCGAAGCAACGCGAAGAACCUUACCAGGUCUUGACAUCCCGAUGCCCGCUCUAGAGAUAGAGUUUUACUUUUUGUACAUCGGAGACAGGUGGUGCAUGGUUGUCGUCAGCUCGUGUCGUGGGAUGUUGGGUUAAGUCCCGCAACGAGCGCAACCCUUAUUGUUAGUUGCCAUCAUUAAGUUGGGCACUCUAGCGAGACUGCCGGUAAUAAACCGGAGGAAGGUGGGGAUGACGUCAAAUCAUCAUGCCCCUUAUGACCUGGGCUACACACGUGCUACAAUGGUUGGUACAACGAGUCGCAAGCCGGUGACGGCAAGCUAAUCUCUGAAAGCCAAUCUCAGUUCGGAUUGUAGGCUGCAACU
RNAcentral lists this ribosomal RNA (710 nucleotides) under uncultured bacterium. RNAcentral describes it as "bacterial SSU rRNA". It matches the Rfam family "Bacterial small subunit ribosomal RNA", at positions 602 to 1312 of the family's 1533-position model. The record is from RNAcentral.